CUUGGCGGCCAUAGCGCGGUGGUCCCACCUGAUCCCAUGCCGAACUCAGAAGUGAAACGCCGUAGCGC
Molecule: ribosomal RNA, 68 nt
Filed under: Proteus mirabilis
Lineage: Bacteria; Pseudomonadati; Pseudomonadota; Gammaproteobacteria; Enterobacterales; Morganellaceae
Source: RNAcentral